AUUGAACGCUGGCGGCAGGCCUAACACAUGCAAGUCGAGCGGAUGAAGGGAGCUUGCUCCUGGAUUCGGCGGCGGACGGGUGAGUAAUGCCUAGGAAUCUGCCUGGUAGUGGGGGAUAACGUCCGGAAACGGGCGCUAAUACCGCAUACGUCCUGAGGGAGAAAGUGGGGGAUCUUCGGACCUCACGCUAUCAGAUGAGCCUAGGUCGGAUUAGCUAGUCGGUGGGGUAAAGGCCUACCAAGGCGACGAUCCGUAACUGGUCUGAGAGGAUGAUCAGUCACACUGGAACUGAGACACGGUCCAGACUCCUACGGGAGGCAGCAGUGGGGAAUAUUGGACAAUGGGCGAAAGCCUGAUCCAGCCAUGCCGCGUGUGUGAAGAAGGUCUUCGGAUUGUAAAGCACUUUAAGUUGGGAGGAAGGGCAGUAAGUUAAUACCUUGCUGUUUUGACGUUACCAACAGAAUAAGCACCGGCUAACUUCGUG
RNAcentral lists this ribosomal RNA (484 nucleotides) under uncultured bacterium. RNAcentral describes it as "partial 16S ribosomal RNA". It matches the Rfam family "Bacterial small subunit ribosomal RNA", at positions 30 to 507 of the family's 1533-position model. The record is from RNAcentral.